AUUGAACGCUGGCGGCAGGCCUAACACAUGCAAGUCGAGCGGAUGAAGGGAGCUUGCUCCUGUAUUCAGCUGCGGACGGGUGAGUAAUGCCUAGGAAUCUGCCUUGUAGUGGGGGAUAACGUCCGGAAACGGGCGCUAAUACCGCAUACGUCCUGAGGGAGAAAGGGGGGGAUCUUCGGACCUCACGCUAUCAGAUGAGCCUAGGUCGGAUUAGCUAGUUUGUGAGGUAAAGGCCUACCAAGGCGACGAUCCGUAACUGUGCUGAGGGGAUGAUCAGUCACACUGGAACUGAGACACGGUCCAGACUCCUACGGGAGGCAGCAGUGGGGAAUAUUGGACGAUGGGCGAAAGCCUGAUCCAGCCAUGCCGCGUGUGUGAAGAAGGUCUUCGGAUUGUAAAGCACUUUAAGUUGGGAGGAAGGGAAGUAAGUUAAUACCUUGCUGUUUUGACGUUACCAACAGAAUAAGCACCGGCUAACUUCGUG
This 484-nucleotide ribosomal RNA is filed under the name uncultured bacterium. RNAcentral's name for it is "partial 16S ribosomal RNA". It matches the Rfam family "Bacterial small subunit ribosomal RNA", at positions 30 to 507 of the family's 1533-position model. The record is from RNAcentral.